AAUAGAUACCCGGGUAGUCCACGCCGUAAACGAUGAGUGCUAAGUGUUAGAGGGUUUCCGCCCUUUAGUGCUGCAGCUAACGCAUUAAGCACUCCGCCUGGGGAGUACGGUCGCAAGACUGAAACUCAAAGGAAUUGACGGGGGCCCGCACAAGCGGUGGAGCAUGUGGUUUAAUUCGAAGCAACGCGAAGAACCUUACCAGGUCUUGACAUCCUCUGACAACUCUAGAGGUAGAGCGUUCCCCUUCGGGGGACAGAGUGACAGGUGGUGCAUGGUUGUCGUCAGCUCGUGUCGUGAGAUGUUGGGUUAAGUCCCGCAACGAGCGCAACCCUUGAUCUUAGUUGCCAGCAUUUAGUUGGGCACUCUAAGGUGACUGCCGGUGACAAACCGGAGGAAGGUGGGGAUGACGUCAAAUCAUCAUGCCCCUUAUGACCUGGGCUACACACGUGCUACAAUGGAUGGUACAAAGGGCUGCAAGACCGCGAGGUCAAGCCAAUCCCAUAAAACCAUUCUCAGUUCGGAUUGUGGG
Molecule: ribosomal RNA, 529 nt
Filed under: uncultured bacterium
Lineage: Bacteria
Description: bacterial SSU rRNA
Rfam family: Bacterial small subunit ribosomal RNA
Source: RNAcentral